This 445-nucleotide ribosomal RNA is filed under the name uncultured Anaerolineaceae bacterium. RNAcentral's name for it is "bacterial SSU rRNA". It matches the Rfam family "Bacterial small subunit ribosomal RNA", at positions 920 to 1382 of the family's 1533-position model. The record is from RNAcentral. Lineage: Bacteria; Bacillati; Chloroflexota; Anaerolineae; Anaerolineales; Anaerolineaceae.
CCCGCACAAGCAGCGGAGCGUGUGGUUUAAUUCGAUGCUACACGAAGAACCUUACCAGGGUUUGACAUGCAAGUGGUAGGAACCGAAAGGUGACCGACCUUCGGGAGCCUAUACAGGUGUUGCAUGGCUGUCGUCAGCUCGUGUCGUGAGAUGUUCGGUUAAGUCCGCUAACGAGCGCAACCCUCGUCGUAUGUUAUAUGUGUCAUACGAGACUGCCGGUAAAAGCCGGAGGAAGGUGAGGAUGAUGUCAAGUCAGCAUGACCUUUAUAUCCAGGGCUACACACACGCUACAAUGGUCUGUACAAUGGGUAGCCAAGCCGCGAGGCGGAGCCAAUCCUCAAAGUUGGUCUCAGUUCAGAUUGCAGGCUGCAACCCGCCUGCAUGAAGAUGGAGUUGCUAGUAACCGCAGGUCAGCUAUACUGCGGUGAAUACGUUCCCGGGGCUU